This 810-nucleotide long non-coding RNA is filed under the name Capra hircus (goat). RNAcentral's name for it is "lncRNA (ENSCHIG00000004525.1)". The record is from RNAcentral. Lineage: Eukaryota; Metazoa; Chordata; Mammalia; Artiodactyla; Bovidae.
AUGGCCGGCCCAGAAAACCAGGAACAGGUUAAGGGGCCAGAAGACUGGGCAGGGCCGUGGAGUCUCCGUGGGGGCCGAGCCUGUGCCCGGGGAGCGCGGAUGCUGGCAGUGAGAGACGGCGGCGCUCCCAGGAAAGGGGUCCCCCCUCGGUGCCGCGGGCUGGGAGCCGCGCAGCCCUCGCCAGCGCCCCGCCCGCCCCGAGGCCCGAGCGCGAGGCGCCGCGGGAGGAAUUCCAGCCAUUUCCUCUGCGCCGAGCGGUACCGCUGCUGUCCUAAACCUCCCGGGAUCUUCCGCCCAUCCUGCCCAAGGCCUCUUCUGAUGGAGCAGACAGGGCGGCUUUUCAGGGCCCUGUUCAGCUGUACCUUCAUCUUAAGCAACGUAUGUGCAUUGAUGGAGCUUACCUGGUGCCAAGAGUGUGGUGAAAGGCAUGGAAAUACGGUGUGUGUGCAGAGAGAGCACUGGAGGAGUGUUGCUUCAAGCCUAAGCAAUCUCAGUGUAAGUUUGCUCUGUGUCCUUCCUUGCAAUCUCUGCACCUCAUCUAUGAACCCGCACUCAGGAGAUGGAAGCAGAGGAGCAGCACUGCAUUGACUUGCCCGAAGAAAUGUUCGACUGCACAAGCAUAGCCUUGGGUGAUCUGAUUAAUCGGGGAACUCAGUUUUCACCACCCGGAGCUUUCCCACGGACAAAAGAGCCUAGCGAGCUACAGCCCUUGGGGUUGAAGAGUCAGACACGACGGAGUGACUAAGCAACAGCUUUCAUGAAGCCUUCAUGUGUGGCUCUCCCAGGAGCUCUGACAGCCUUCAGGAACAG